RNAcentral lists this ribosomal RNA (201 nucleotides) under uncultured bacterium. RNAcentral describes it as "partial 16S ribosomal RNA". It matches the Rfam family "Bacterial small subunit ribosomal RNA", at positions 1300 to 1500 of the family's 1533-position model. The record is from RNAcentral.
GCAGGCUGCAACUCGCCUGUAUGAAGUCGGAAUUGCUAGUAAUCGUGGAUCAGCAUGCCACGGUGAAUACGUUCCCGGGCCUUGUACACACCGCCGUCACACCAUGAGAGCCGGGAACACCCGAAGUCCGUAGUCUAACCUAUAUGGAGGACGCGGCCGAAGGUGGGUUUGGUAAUUGGGGUGAAGUCGUAACAAGGUAUC